AACGAACGCUGGCGGCGUGCUUAACACAUGCAAGUCGAACGCGAAAUUUUUCUUCGGAAAGAGAGUAGAGUGGCGCACGGGUGAGUAACGCGUAAGUAAUCUACCCUGGUAUCUGGGAUAACCCACCGAAAGGUGUGCUAAUACCGGAUACGCUGAUUUAUCAGGAAAGGUGGCCUCUUCAUGAAAGCUACUGUACCAGGAGGAGCUUGCGUACCAUUAGCUAGUUGGUAGGGUAAUGGCCUACCAAGGCAACGAUGGUUAGCGGGUCUGAGAGGAUGAUCCGCCACACUGGAACUGGAACACGGACCAGACUCCUACGGGAGGCAGCAGUGAGGAAUAUUGCGCAAUGGGGGAAACCCUGACGCAGCGACGCCGCGUGGAUGAUGAAGGC
RNAcentral lists this ribosomal RNA (391 nucleotides) under uncultured bacterium. RNAcentral describes it as "bacterial SSU rRNA". It matches the Rfam family "Bacterial small subunit ribosomal RNA", at positions 29 to 415 of the family's 1533-position model. The record is from RNAcentral.